UCCUAACCAGACAAACUGAUCUUAUCCAACUGUCACGGGCUUGGCCUCUCAUUUCCUGUCUGGCUCUGUCUCCCUCUCAGGCUGAAGGCUUUGUGUCUAAGGUUCCCGGGCUAUGUAAUAGCUGUUUGGAGACCAAUCGUGGAAGAGUUAGACUAUUGCUCUGGCUCACAAUGGCACUGUAUGGAGCUUUUCCCUGCCUGUGGCCAAAUGAUGAAAUGCUUCAUGGAUAGUUCUGAUGGAUCCAAGGCCUCUCCGAAUAGGAGUGAGGUAAUGCUGCUUAAGAGUCAUAUAAGUCCUGCAUGAAACAAUGUUUUGGACUAUACGCCAGUCCUUUCCUGAAAGGGACUGGACACAAAUGCCAUGUCAUGCCAUUUUGCAGAAUAUUUCAUGGA
Cygnus olor (mute swan) is the source of this 392-nucleotide long non-coding RNA. RefSeq lists it as uncharacterized. The transcript is spliced from 3 exons. NCBI's taxonomy places the organism in Eukaryota, Metazoa, Chordata, Aves, Anseriformes, Anatidae. The record is from RefSeq and is a predicted model, not a curated record.